GCUGGGUGCUGUGACGCAUGCCUGUAAUCCCAGCAGCUCAGGAGGCUGAGACAGGAGGAUGCGGGUUCAAAGCCAGGUUCAGCAAUGCCAAGGCACUAAGCAGCUCAGUGAGACCCUGUCUCUA
RNAcentral lists this small RNA (124 nucleotides) under Marmota monax (woodchuck). The record is from RNAcentral. Lineage: Eukaryota; Metazoa; Chordata; Mammalia; Rodentia; Sciuridae.